This 571-nucleotide long non-coding RNA is filed under the name Homo sapiens (human). RNAcentral's name for it is "non-protein coding lnc-OSR1-6:2". Lineage: Eukaryota; Metazoa; Chordata; Mammalia; Primates; Hominidae. The record is from RNAcentral.
UAUCUCAGGGAUUGUUUUGUUUUCCAAUCUGAGAGCAAUCUGCUUUGUAGUUCUUACCUCUUAGUUUACCAAAAUCCCUUUCAAUUCCAAAAAGGCUAGUACUGACUCAUCACAGAGACAGCAUGAGGCCAUAUUGCUUUGUGAAAUUUUCAUUCUGACAAUCAUGUUUCCAGACUGGGCCUUUUUGCAAUGCUAAUUACACCAUUACCACUCUGCAGGCUAACAUUUCUGUUCUUUAUAAAAUCACUCACCCAGGAGUCUUGCUUUUGGUGUUUCUGUGGAACUUGAACUCAGGAGAAUCUUCUUCCCCUUUCCUGCCCCCAUAUCUCUUUUUCUAUCUAUUCAGCUCUCUCUCUUUCUUAGCAUUUUGGCUGCAGUAACCAAAACAGCAUGAUACUGGUAUAAAAACAGACACAUAGACCAAUGGAACAGAAUAGAGAACCCAGAAAUAAAGCAGCACACCUACAUGCAUGCCCUGCUCAUGACCUAGAGGCAGGUCUCUUUCUUUGCCUUUUGCUUUUUGCUUCUGGAUUGGAAGCAUGUCCAAAAAAACAAAUCAAAUAAUCUAUAA